This is a long non-coding RNA of Triticum dicoccoides, 915 nucleotides long. RefSeq lists it as uncharacterized. The record is from RefSeq and is a predicted model, not a curated record. NCBI's taxonomy places the organism in Eukaryota, Viridiplantae, Streptophyta, Magnoliopsida, Poales, Poaceae. The transcript has 3 exons.
CCUGACGAAGCAAGCGACGCCUGCCGCCGGAGCGACUGGGCCGACGAUCUCCGCGCUCCUCGCCCUCUCGCCGGCGACAUGACUCGCUCCUUUCCCAACAUGUACCGGCUCCGAGCCAGGGAAAGAUUAAGAUGGCAAUCAAGCGCGGUUUCUGCGACGAGGAUGAGGAGGAAGUGGCGCAGAUGUCAGGCCCAGUGGACUUAAAGGAGGUCACUCACGCAGACAAGAUCACAAAGGAAACUUUGGCUAAGGUUAUGGUGCAGAGGAAGGUGUCUGCCCUGACAGCUGCCCCGCGGACCGCGACAGCCCCCACCCCUGCCCUGGAGAACACCACAGGCCCGACCCCUACCUCGGAGACUGCCCCGACCCUCGCCCUGGCCUGAGCCAUCUACUAAAUCUGGCGAAAGGACUGCUGUACAAAUGGGCAAUUGGCACAAGGCAAAGAUUUCAGGAGAAUGUUUGCAUCAACAGGGUUUUUUCAGUUCCUCUUGUUUUCAGUUCCCUUCCUAAUGGUGAUCAGUCACAAACCUUAAAAUGUACUCCCUCCGUUCUAAAUUACUUGUCUUGGAUUUGUCUAGAUACGGAUGUAUCUAGCACUAAUUUUAGUGCUAGAUACAUCCGUAUCUAGACAAAUCUAAGACAAGUAAUUCGGAACGGAGGGAGUAGCUGAGUUUGUGCCUUGAAACUGGCUGAAGGGGACCAGCAAAUGGUAAGGGGAGAACCUUUCCCGUGGUAUGCGAACCAAGUCUUGUGGUCUACGAUGGAUGCUUUACCUUGUUCUGCAAUGGGGAAGCAUGUAUGUGUGUUCACUCUGAGGUGUUUGUCUUUGUCGUGGUGGCGGCGGAUGAUUUCGUUUCGUGUUCAUGUGAGAUGAUCGUAUGUUCGUCUGUUGUCCAGGAAAAUCCUGCAUCAUCA